AGCUCAGUUGGUAGAGCGCAACCUUGCCAAGGUUGAGGUCGCGAGUUCGAGACUCGUC
RNAcentral lists this transfer RNA (58 nucleotides) under Burkholderia cenocepacia. RNAcentral's name for it is "tRNA-Gly". It matches the Rfam family "tRNA", at positions 9 to 64 of the family's 71-position model. Rfam says of the family: Transfer RNA (tRNA) molecules are approximately 80 nucleotides in length. Their secondary structure includes four short double-helical elements and three loops (D, anti-codon, and T loops). Lineage: Bacteria; Pseudomonadati; Pseudomonadota; Betaproteobacteria; Burkholderiales; Burkholderiaceae. RNAcentral also lists the same sequence under 1 other name. The record is from RNAcentral.